ACUGGGCAUGGUGGCGCAUGCCUGUAAUUCCAGUGGCUUGGGAGGUGGAGGCAGGAGGAUCUCAAGUUCAAAGCCAGCCUCAGCAAAAGCAAGGCAUUAAGCAACUCAGGGAGACCCUGUCUCUA
This 125-nucleotide small RNA is filed under the name Marmota monax (woodchuck). The record is from RNAcentral. Lineage: Eukaryota; Metazoa; Chordata; Mammalia; Rodentia; Sciuridae.